RNAcentral lists this ribosomal RNA (753 nucleotides) under uncultured eukaryote. Its description in RNAcentral is "bacterial SSU rRNA". It matches the Rfam family "Bacterial small subunit ribosomal RNA", at positions 516 to 1279 of the family's 1533-position model. The record is from RNAcentral.
CGCGGUAAUACGGGGGAUGCAGCGUUAUCCGGAAUCAUUGGGCGUAAAGCGCCUGUAGGUUGUUUAAUAAGUCUGUUGUUAAAGACUGGGGCUUAACCCCAGGAAAGCAAUGGAAACUACUAGACUAGAGUAUGGUAGGGGUAAAGGGAAUUUCUAGUGUAGCGGUGAAAUGCGUAGAUAUUAGAAAGAACACCGGUGGCGAAAGCGCUUUACUGGACCAUUACUGACACUCAGAGGCGAAAGCUAGGGUAGCCAAAGGGAUUAGAUACCCCUGUAGUCCUAGCCGUAAACGAUGGAUACUAGAUGUUGCGCUUAUUGUGCAGUGUCGUAGCUAACGCGUUAAGUAUCCCGCCUGGGGAGUACGAUCGCAAGGUUGAAACUCAAAGGAAUUGACGGGGGCCCGCACAAGCGGUGGAGCAUGUGGUUUAAUUCGAUGCAACGCGAAGAACCUUACCAGGGCUUGACAUACUGCAAAUUUUCUUGAAAGAGAAAAGUGCCUUCGGGAAUGCAGAUACAGGUGGUGCAUGGCUGUCGUCAGCUCGUGUCGUGAGAUGUUGGGUUAAGUCCCGCAACGAGCGCAACCCUCGUUUUUAGUUGCCAUUUUAUGGGUUCUCUAGAAAGACUGCCGGUGACAAACCGGAGGAAGGUGGGGAUGACGUCAAGUCAGCAUGCCCCUUAUGCCCUGGGCUACACACGUGCUACAAUGGCUAAGACAAAGAGUCGCGAAUUCGCGAGAAUCAGCUAAUCUCAUAA